Lagopus leucura (white-tailed ptarmigan) is the source of this 2815-nucleotide long non-coding RNA. RefSeq lists it as uncharacterized. The record is from RefSeq and is a predicted model, not a curated record. Lineage: Eukaryota; Metazoa; Chordata; Aves; Galliformes; Phasianidae. The transcript is spliced from 4 exons.
GCGCCGCGCUGCUCGUGGUGUGACGGCUCGCUGCUCGUUCUUUUUGGCGGUACUAGCUAUGGUAGAAGCAAUGCGAAACGGAUGGAAGCGCCCAGCAGCUGUCUGCGAGCUUCCGACAUUACGCCGCUAACGCUACAUGUUGGACCGUACCUCUUCUCUGCUGCAUUCAGAAACCUUUCUGUGAGCCCACCACGAACGCUGGUGGCGUGCAGCUCACAGUCACACUGCAAUCCGGCUGUCUGUUCUUUCACCUCACAAAGAAAUGAAAGGGAAAUCUGGUGACACACAGAAAGCACCGCUUCAGAGCAGCCCCUCCUGUCCCGCCGGACUGAGUGAACACAUACUCAGAACAAGAAGUCGUUCUACUAUACCGUGUAUGGAUUACCAGUUCUUCCUAUUCAAAUGAAUAAAAGAAGAUGCAACUUAUCAUCAUUGUGUCAUCAUUCUGAAAAAUGAAAAAUUAAAUAGUUGCUCAACAUAUUAAAACUCUCAAAUUCAAAACUGCUCAAAAAAAAUGGCAAAUUCAGCUACCUGGGAAAUGCCCUCCUAUGCCAAUGUCAAGAUAAUUGCCAAGUGUGGAAUACUCACACUGCAUGAACAGGAAUGCACAGCAGUCAGUUCCUGCCUAGCAGUAGAAGAGACCCUGAUGUAAAAGCCAAAAAUGUGUUCUGGAAAUACUAUGGAUUUUUAAUGAGGAUUAAGCAUCGUGGCAGUUGAACCACAAAAGAUGUAAGGAAACUGCCUAACCACAGCCACAUAGAUCAUAAUGAUUUAUGUAGGCAUGAGCUGCAAUACUGUUUCCCUCACUUUAAAAAGAUUUCUCAUUUGCCAAACUCUGUGUAUUCUUCAUCAGAUGUGUAGGUUAUAAGACAGAGAAAUCAUCAACUUGAAACAACUCCAGCAGAACUGGAAAAAUGUUAUGACUUCAUAGGAACAAUCCCCAAUCAAUUCAGAAUCAUCCAGGUUGGUUAGAAGAUUUUUUGAACUGCAGAAAUAGCACAGGCACUACAGCAUAUUUGUGCUUGAAAUCAACGACAAAGCACUACUGCUACUAAAAAGCACACAGCUGGCUCCAUGUGGGAAACCAAGUGACAGGGACUUAAAAUAAAACUUCAAAGUUUUUCAGUCAUUUCAUUGCAACCUUUACAGGUUCUGGGCCAUGAUCACAAUUUAGAAAACAGAGCGGUCAGCUUGAAAAAGAAUACAGGAGAGAGCCAGGAAGAAUACUGAAGGAAAGCUGGAGAGAAUCAGUGAAGCACGCAAGUUCAUGAUAAACCUCCAGAAGAGGAUUCAACUAUCAGAGUCUGCCUGUCGCUGGAUAAACUCGAGCAGAAUCUCUGGCAAGUGGUGGAAGUGACCAAAGGGUAAAACUGGCAUUUACCAACACAAUUAGUCCAGACAAGUUCCACUGACUUCUACUCAAAACUUCAGUUUGAUUGAGUAAGAACUGGCAACAUUGAUUGAUGCUACCAGAAGAAAUGCAGUGUUUUUAAAGACAGCAAACUAAAAUGUGGUACAAAGCAGAAUGCACACUGAUGCCAAUUUCCAUCAACAAGAGUUCUAUUAAUUAUGGAGAGGAAAGCCAAGAAGUAUCAGUGGAAAAAAUACAUCUAAAUUCCUUGAAACAGAAGCAGGCCCAAUUUUGGAAUACCUAUAUGUUAUCUAUGCUGUGAAGUAAUUUCUUACUUCAUUAAUGUUUUAGGCAAAAAUAUUGAAAUAUCUACAGAAUUUUUAAACACAAUAACUUACUAAUGUUUCUUCGCAUGCUAGUAAAAGAUAUGUAGUCUCAAGUGAUGUAAAUCAAUUAUCUCUGUAUGUGUGAAAUGCUGUAACAAGAUCAAUGAGACCUGAACACAAGGAGGCAUCUUAGGAUAACAGCUGCAGAUGCAUGCACUCUCUGGGAAGAAAACAAACAAAUGAAUAUACACUGCUCAUCUCUAUGUUUUGCCGUCCCACAUAAAAAAUCCCUGUCAUUAUCUUUUCCAGUUGUUAAGUGCAUAAAAAAAACAAAUGAAGUCAGGUAGCAGUCCAUAUAUCAGUACAGGCAAAGUACAAUAAAUGGUCACUCUUACAGCAAAGAUAAAAUGGAUGCUUUGCAUUCACUUUUGAAAUUUGUUCUUGAUGGGACUUAAUGGUCAGACUAUACUUAGAACCACUGCUGUAUAUUUAAUGGCUGAACAGAAAACUGCAACUACGUAUCUUUACUAAGAUGGCCUCAAGAUAAUUACCUCCACAUUAUUAAUAAUUCUGCCAAUUGGAUUUCCACAAAGUAGAUUCAAUAAAACACUAAAAAUAUUUAUUCAAUAAAUCAAUUACACUUCUGAUUGAGUCUGGCUAACCAUAAGUUAUUUUCUCAUUGAUAAAAUUAUGUUUAUGAAAACCCAUUUUCAUGGAAAUAGUUCUUAAGGUUUUUAUUGGAAAAUACUUUGCUGUUAGGCUGAAGAUAAGAGAAUUAAUGAAAAGUCCACAUGAGCCUUAUUUGUUUAAAUAAACACCAAAAACCCUCUGAUUGUUGCUUAUGCAGAAUCCAAUGUCUGUGUUUAAUAAUGCCAAAAAAUGUAAAGAAAAAUCAAAUACCUUCUUAUCCCACUAGAUGGUGGUGCCUUCAGAGUAGGGUUGAUAUCCUUUAAAAGACUGCAGGAAAACUGCUUUCUUUAGCUGACCUGUGAGCAUAGAGAAUGAGAGAUGAGGUUAAUCUUGUUCUUCUGGGGACAUUAAUGAGCAUUCAGGUGUAAUGGCUUACUAAAAAUACUCAAGUACAUAUGAUUGUGUUCAUAGUUUGUUACAAAGUGUGUUUUAACUUCAGUAUACAUCU